GUGGGGAAUCUUCCACAAUGGACGAAAGUCUGAUGGAGCAACGCCGCGUGAGUGAAGAAGGGUUUCGGCUCGUAAAGCUCUGUUGUCGGGGACGAAUGUGCAGUAUUUGAAUAAAGUACUGCAAUGACGGUACCUGACGAGGAAGCCACGGCUAACUACGUGCCAGCAGCCGCGGUAAUACGUAGGUGGCAAGCGUUGUCCGGAAUUAUUGGGCGUACAGGGAGCGCAGGCGGGAAGGUAAGUCGGUCUUAAAAGUGCGGGGCUCAACCCCGUGAUGGGAUCGAAACUAUCUUUCUUGAGUGCAGGAGAGGAAAGUGGAAUUCCUAGUGUAGCGGUGAAAUGCGUAGAUAUUAGGAGGAACACCAGUGGCGAAGGCGACUUUCUGGACUGUAACUGACGCUGAGGCUCGAAAGCCAGGGGAGCGAACGGGAUUAGAAACCCGGGUAGUCC
RNAcentral lists this ribosomal RNA (450 nucleotides) under uncultured bacterium. Its description in RNAcentral is "partial 16S ribosomal RNA". It matches the Rfam family "Bacterial small subunit ribosomal RNA", at positions 354 to 796 of the family's 1533-position model. The record is from RNAcentral.